Lactuca sativa (garden lettuce) is the source of this 465-nucleotide non-coding RNA. NCBI's taxonomy places the organism in Eukaryota, Viridiplantae, Streptophyta, Magnoliopsida, Asterales, Asteraceae. The record is from RefSeq and is a predicted model, not a curated record.
CCUUUAUUCUAUCUGGCCGGAAUCACAAUGAUGAAGCUCCAUGCUUUGCAGGAGGAGUAAACUUUCCAGGGGCUUAUAAAGAAAAGAGUAUUGAUUGUACAAGGGUAUAUUGUAUUGAAGUUUUUGUAUUGAUUCCACUCUCAAAGGAAGAAAAUGAAUUGAUACCACUCAAAGAAUUUUGGGAUGCUUAGAAAACUAUCCAUUAAUUUAACGAUAUUUAUAAGUUUAUCAGUAGUUAAUCAACAUUCAACGAAUCCAUGUCAUGUGAGAGAAGAAUCUUUUGUACACUCUAAUGGGAGCAUUUUCGAUCGUACAUCCAGAUGCAAAAGGAGAGAGGUGGCGUAUUUGAGGGUGAAUACCAAGAGAACAAAAUGGUAUAGAUAAUAGUAAAUAUUGGAUAUAUCAUAUAUAUCAUUUAAUUUCAUAAUGUAGCUCUUUUUCUUAGUUAUUGUCGGGAUGUGAAAA